GAUGAACGCUAGCGGCGGGCUUAAUACAUGCAAGUCGAGGGGUAGCAAUACACCGGCGUACGGGUGCGUAACGCGUAUGCAACCUACCUUUAUCUGGGGGAUAGCCCGGGGAAACCCGGAUUAAUACCGCAUAAGAAAGUGAUAUGGCAUCAUAUAGCUUUUAAAGAUUUAUUGGAUAAAGAUGGGCAUGCGUAGGAUUAGAUAGUUGGUAAGGUAACGGCUUACCAAGUCUGCGAUCCUUAGGGGGCUCUGAGAGGAGAAUCCCCCCACACUGGCACUGAGAUACGGGCCAGACUCC
Molecule: ribosomal RNA, 298 nt
Filed under: uncultured bacterium
Lineage: Bacteria
Description: partial 16S ribosomal RNA
Rfam family: Bacterial small subunit ribosomal RNA
Source: RNAcentral